UCCGCCCGGGGGGCACGGCGCCCAGCCGAUUCAUCAAUCUUGAAAAAAAAAAACUCAUUCUUUUAACGAACGAAGCUUUCGGCGUUCCCUUUUUGCGCGUGGCUACGGGCAGAAACUAAAUGAAACCUUUUACUGAGAUUGACUGUUUUCAAGACCGGGGCAACAAAGGAGCGGCCAAUUGGUCCCCCCGGCCGCGCUUUUGCCGCCCGCUGCUUUUUUCCCCGUCAAGCUGCACGCCCCAUCGGAAGAUGCGGGUGGCGGACAAAGUGUUCGUGCUUCGCAAAUCGGAAUUCCGAGUCCAUUUGCCGUUCCCCUAGUCAUACGCACGUACACGACGCAUCAGUCCUAAUUCGAUUUAUCUACGUUUGCAUUCGUAAACUGCAAUGCAUUCACUAUGCAGCUCACAGCCCGCGGGCUCUUUUGCCCUGCCUGUCAACGCCCAUGCGAGUCGUGUCUGCAGCCAUACCGGGGCAGACCUUUAUAAUCUGGGCCUUUCGGGGAGGCUCUCCCACGCGCCCAGCAAAGAGGGAAGUUGCGUCGAGAGAAUGAAGAGGGCCGGCUUGGCGUGUGACCACGCGGCCGGGUCCGCGGGGCCAUUGUGUCGCGCGACAGUGGCUCGGCCACUGCUGCAUACACUUAGCAUACUGAUCGGGCCGUCGAUUCGGACCCGCCAGUGCACAUCUGUUGCCGCCGCCGCUCGCUCGCCGCCGAGGGCCAUUAUCUAAUAAGCAAGCCGGCGGCCUUUCAAGAGCCCAUCUUGAUUUCGAUUCCGCCGGCGACGACUUUCACCUUUCAGCGCUGGCGUCGUCACUCCCCUGCGACCCUCGCUCGUGCAGUGGCGUGGCAUGAUACGGUACGGUCGAAAGCAAGUUCUUCGCGGUGACUACGCCCAUGUAUGCUACCGCAACUAUAUGCAUUCUUCAAAAAAAGUUGUGUAAAGAAGACUACAUCCAGCGGCUCUGCAAGAAUGCCUUAUAUACAGUGAGAUCAACAGAGGAGCGCAGGAUGGGCGACGCACUUGGGACUUGCAGCAUGCAGGCAUGCGAGGAAGAAACUGCCCCAAAACUGCGCGAUGACAACGGAUGUAGGAUAUCCCGGAGAUAGGACAAGCAGCACGGAUGACAGAAGGAUCGCCCAACACAGAGACAGGCGAGUGCCUUGACAUGACAAAGGUUCUUCAAGGGCGGCCGCCUCAUACGAUAGCAAUUUUCGGA
Molecule: non-coding RNA, 1214 nt
Organism: Dermacentor albipictus
Lineage: Eukaryota; Metazoa; Arthropoda; Arachnida; Ixodida; Ixodidae
Source: RefSeq, a predicted model, not a curated record